Molecule: non-coding RNA, 49 nt
Filed under: Trichobilharzia regenti
Lineage: Eukaryota; Metazoa; Platyhelminthes; Trematoda; Strigeidida; Schistosomatidae
Source: RNAcentral
UUACUGAUGAAGAGUCCCAAACUGAGUGGACGAAACAGCUGUUCAGUAC